AACGAACGCUGGCGGCAGGCUUAACACAUGCAAGUCGAACGGGUGUAGCAAUACAUCAGUGGCAGACGGGUGAGUAACACGUGGGAACCUUCCUAGGGGUACGGAACAACUCAGGGAAACUUGAGCUAAUACCGUAUACGUCCGUGAGGAGAAAGAAUUAUCGCCCUUAGACGGGCCCGCGUCGGAUUAGCUAGUUGGUGGGGUAACGGCCUACCAAGGCGACGAUCCGUAGCUGAUCUUAGAGGAUGAUCAGUCACACUGGGACUGAGACACGGCCCAGACUCCUACGGGAGGCAGCAGUGGGGAAUCUUGGACAAUGGGCGCAAGCCUGAUCCAGCCAUGCCGCGUGAGUGAAGAAGGUCUUCGGAUUGUAAAGCUCUUUUGCCAGGGACGAUAAUGACGGUACCUGGAGAAUAAGCCCCGGCAAACUUCGUGCCAGCAGCCGCCGUAA
This 451-nucleotide ribosomal RNA is filed under the name uncultured bacterium. RNAcentral's name for it is "partial 16S ribosomal RNA". It matches the Rfam family "Bacterial small subunit ribosomal RNA", at positions 29 to 523 of the family's 1533-position model. The record is from RNAcentral.